Non-coding RNA from Mycena floridula, 89 nucleotides. The record is from the annotation of a GenBank genome assembly. NCBI's taxonomy places the organism in Eukaryota, Fungi, Basidiomycota, Agaricomycetes, Agaricales, Mycenaceae.
GCCGCCUUGGCGUAGUGGUAGCGCGUCUCACUUGUAUGUUUGUUAACAUUCUUAUGAGAAGGUCAUUCGUUCAAUCCGGGUAGGCGGCA